Molecule: RNA transcript, 2247 nt
Organism: Ziziphus jujuba (common jujube)
Lineage: Eukaryota; Viridiplantae; Streptophyta; Magnoliopsida; Rosales; Rhamnaceae
Gene name: probable serine/threonine-protein kinase PBL7
Exons: 6
Source: RefSeq, a predicted model, not a curated record
CCAAAAAAAAAGGGGUGAAAAGAACACAAAGCGCUACACCAUAGCUCUCUCCAUCAGUGGUUUCGCUCGUGUUGGGUCUGCUAUUGGUUUGUUUUUUCGAGAACUGUUAUGGCUGAUUGAUUCUCUUUAUCUUCUCCUCUUUCUCACUUGAUAUUGCUUUAGAGAGUAAGAGUGAAAAGAGUGAAAAAAAAAAAAAAAAGAUAAGAGAAAAAUUAAGAAUAAACCAUGAGUUGGAUUCCUUGUUCUGGAAAUUCAAGCAGUAAAGCUAAAAUCAAGAAGAAGAAGAAGACCCAGCUGCAGGAAAACCCAGUUGAUCAGAUCAAAGUUACUUCUGGAAUUUUGAAGACAAAAUCUUCUCUGAGUGCAAAGGAGGCCUCCAACAAUGGAGGACCUGAUCAUAUUGCAGCACAAACUUUUCCAUUUCGUGAGUUGGCUGCUGCAACUAGAAAUUUCAGGCCUGAAUGUCUCUUGGGAGAGGGAGGUUUUGGUCGAGUAUACAAAGGGCGUUUGGAAAGUACGAAUCAGGUUGUAGCUAUCAAGCAGCUUGAUCGUAAUGGAUUGCAAGGAAACAGGGAGUUCCUUGUUGAAGUGUUGAUGUUAAGUCUGCUUCAUCACCCUAACCUUGUCAAUCUUACUGGUUAUUGUGCUGAUGGAGAUCAAAGGCUUCUUGUUUAUGAGUAUAUGCCCUUAGGGUCUUUGGAAGACCAUCUGCAUGAUAUCUCACCUGGUAAAAAACGACUUGAUUGGAGUACAAGAAUGAAAAUAGCUGCUGGCGCAGCAAAGGGACUGGAGUAUUUACAUGAUAAGGCUAACCCUCCUGUUAUAUACAGAGAUUUGAAAUGUUCAAACAUUUUGCUUGGUGAAGGGUAUCAUCCAAAGCUAUCUGAUUUUGGCUUGGCUAAACUUGGGCCUGUUGGGGAUAACACACAUGUAUCUACAAGGGUUAUGGGAACCUAUGGAUAUUGUGCACCAGAAUAUGCAAUGACAGGUCAAUUGACGUUGAAAUCAGAUGUUUAUAGCUUUGGGGUUGUUCUUCUGGAAAUUAUUACAGGCAGGAAAGCAAUUGACUGUACAAAGGCUACAGCAGAGCAGAACUUGGUUGCUUGGGCAAGGCCCCUGUUUAAAGACAGAAGCAAAUUCUCACAAAUGGCUGAUCCAGUGCUGCAAGGUCAAUAUCCUCCAAGGGGCUUAUACCAAGCCCUUGCUGUUGCAGCAAUGUGUGUUCAGGAGCAGCCUAAUAUGCGACCAGUGAUAGCUGAUGUCGUCACAGCCUUGAAUUACCUUGCUUCUCAAAAAUGUGACCCAGAUACACAACCAGUCCAAAACUCCCGUUUUGCCCCUGGUACUCCUAGAGCCAAGAGAGAUAGUGAAAAGAAAGCUCAACGGUGGUAGUGGUUAUGAAAUAAGUAGAUUCACAAGGCUAUUUUGUUGCUCAUUGCAAGUUGUUGGGUAUACCUGCGAUCUUUUUUUCUGCUUUGGUAUUGUCCGCUAUGCUUACAGGGAAUGCAUUAAUGGCUGUGGCUGAGGAUGGCAGAGCUCAGAGCGUAUAUAUACCUCAUCACUCUUAUGAAAAUUGAGGCUCCCACUGUUCUAUUGCGACAUGGCCAAGUUGUAGAAAAGCAUGGAAAACCAAGAACCAGAACUCUGAGUUGGUCAUCCAAGUUCCUGAAACGAUAAAUGAAGUCACCUUCAAGCAUGGCAAGCUAGAGAUGUUAGUAGGUGAGGUGAGCAAAGCUACUGGAAGGAGGUUUUUGAUAGAAAAGCACAUCAACAAGUUGAAUUUUCGUUUUCCUCUUAAUAUAAGCUUGUGGUUUGGAUAGCAAGGUAGCAAGUCGAAACUUGAAAGUAGCAAUUUAACUGUCAUCGUAGCCAUGAAAAUUAAAGAAAAGGAAACAUCAACGGCAACGGUGUCUUUCUUUCUAGCUGCUUGAUCGUGUAUUUCUAAGGUGGUGUUUGGUAAUACUUUUUUUUGUUUUUGUUUUUUUUUUUUUUUCCCCUUUUUUACUUAAUUGGGUGUAAUUCAUUUACUUCAAAUGUUUGUUGGUAUUAACCAGAUGGUUAGAGAAAAAUAACAUUGGAUAUAAAUUAUACACAAUUAGGUAGAGAAAAACAAAAAAAUAAAAACUAAAAAUCAAUUACGCUAAGAUGCCAUUUGGAAAGAUGACUUUUUUUUCUUUUUCUUUCAUGUAACUGUGGGUGAUUUGCUUACGCAAACGUUUGUUAAUGGUAGUUUAAAUAUUUUAGACA